GGAGAGGCUAAAUUUAUCCACGAGUUUAAACGUUUGGAGACCAUGCACACUUAAUUCUCAGUGAGGAUGGUCCUGCUGAAACAGGAGCGGAGAGGAAGCAUAGCCUGUUGGACUGCGGAGGGAGCUGUGGGCUUCUGCAGCCCUCUCUGCUCCUCUGACGCCCACUUGGCAGUUGCCCUGGACUUGACUGUGGCCCUGUAAUGGAUGUGACAUCGUCUGCCCCCUAGCAGGAAAGCUGGCAGCCUCCUCUGACUGGUGGUCACUGGCCUAGCCCUUUACUGGAAGCUGGUUAGAAAGGACACUUCGGCUGUUCCCUGGAACUGGCUGCUCAAAAUAACUCCUCCUCAGCUGGUUGGACUGAAGCGGGUCAACGAGACCACCAGAUAGCUUCAGUGCAUCCCUGCGUGCUUCUGACUGACUGCCCUGUGGAGGGGGUGGGACCAACUGGUUCACUCAGCACAGCCCCUACCACUGUAUAAGGAUAUGCCAUGGUUCACCCUUGUGGGUCCGGUUACCCAGCUCCUCACCCACUUGCUCGGGACCUAUAUUUAAACACGGCCAGCAUGGAAUGAGUACAUGUCUCCCUAGUUCCCCAACCCAGAAGGUUUCUCCGAGAGCUAGGGUGUCGUCGGUGAGACGUUAUCUAAUUUGCCUCCUGUCUGAAUUGCAGAAAACAUCUUCAAUACUCGAUUUCUCACGGGAUAAUUGGGUCACAUCCCGAGAGCUCAGCUGGACUGCACUAACCUCUGCUGCCUUGGAAUGCUGUGCUCCGCUACUGGUUUUCUCAAAGACUCUGGAAAAGACAGCACGGUGCUCUCCUAUAGUGUGCAUACUCUAAGUGGCAAGCUUCUGAGUUUCAAGCUUCCUGCUUCUUCAGCUCUUAACAAACCUGCUUGGAAGCUAUCGAGAAAGAUUAUGGGACAUGCGAGUGAAUUUGCAAGUGCUUACUGGUGCCGCCCAGGUCAUACUGAAGAGGAACAGUCCAACAGACACAGCCUGCAUCGUCACACGGCUCUCUGAAAGAUAGCAAGAACCUGUCUGAGCAGUGCCAGCUAUGCAUUGCAGACUCGAAGGCAUGUACAUGCAGACAACCCUCCCGCAUAAGUUCAUUUCCCUUUGAUAUAUAGAAUUACAUCCCUCAUAUGUACAUCCUAUCGAAUUAGCAUUUGCAUAAAUGUAUGUGCUUUUCACAAUUAGUUCAUAGUCAGGGUUAAUCUAUUAAUCUCUAUUUCAUUGCUGAUUACUCUCGUGCAAAAAUAAAAAUAUUGACUAUAAUUAAUCCAAUAAUCAAUUCAUGGAAAUUAAUUUUAUAGACACAUUUAUUUAUUUACUCUACUGGUGACCUGACAUUUUCCCUUAGAAAAAAAGCAUUGUUAAGUGCUUUUAUAAUUGAAAGUUACAGUAAGGGAGCCUACCAGGUCAUACCUGAAUCACUAAGUGUGCCAAAUGGCAGAUACAGAGGUGAGGAAUAGAAUCUUACCAACACCAGGCUGGUACCCCAAUGUAUAUCAUUAUAUUUGUUAGCACAAUGUCUGAACUAGUCACUGCGUAGGGGACAAAGGAAGAAACUGCUGAAGCAAGCUUUACUAUAAGUAAAAGCAUUUACUAAGUAUUUAAACGAGCUGAGCACCAUUCUACGUUUACUCGUGUAUUUAUUUAUUUGCAUCCUGCCACAGCCUAAUGAACCAGGUGGCUUAAUCGUUUCAUAGACUAGAAAACAUACUCAAAAAGGUCACAUGACACGCCCCACCCUUCAUGAAUAUGAAGAAGCAGAACUGGGUUUGGUAUUCCGGCAAAGUGACUGCAGAACCAGUGCUCCUGACCCAGACUCUGCAUCACCUCAAGUAAGUUCCCACUCCUCUGUCUUAUUAAAGAGAAAGCUACGUGCAGUCAACCUAAAGAAGACCCUAUGGUAUAGAACGUUCAGCAGACAAAUCUUUGGAACAGUAGCAUUUGGUUGCUGAUUAAAGCAGGCCUGGUCUCACUAUGAUCUCAGAAGCUCGGCUAACUCAGGUAGCCAUCACACUGAAAAAUUACCAGCACAACUCUGGACAGCAUCCGUUGGUCCUGAUGCCAGUGCUUACUUACCGCCAUAGAAACACGCAAAACCAAUAUGAAAAUAAUAAUAAUAAUAAUGCGGUUUGUUGGAAGAAAAUCUACUCAAUGAGGAAAGGCAGUUUUUACAGCAUUCAAACAUUUCAUAGGAAGACUUUCACUCAGCAAACAGUGUAGUUAAGGUGUAUGGUAAAACUGUAAGCUCUAACCGUCCUCCUAAACGUUAUCUUUAGGAUCCACAUCUAAACUCAAGCAAUAACUUUGGCCUCUAAGUAUUGCAGGAAGGGCAGUCUUUUAUCAUUCAUCAAAUAGCUCAAUGCUGGUAGAUGCAUCAGCGGAGGAAAUAUCUGUAAAGAAAACCGCAAGUGGCUUGUCCUGCAUCUGGUUUGUAAAAUGAUGCAGUCUCAGUUAAUACAGAUCUUGGUGAUACUGGCUGUCAGCUCACAGGACACUUGCAAGGCAUGGAGUUCCAAGAACGAUCUCUAGUGUAGAGUAGCUCUCCCCACCUAUUGUACAGAAUAGAGCUCCAAAUCCAGACGAUCAUGUAAUUUUCACUUAUUUUCAAUAUCCUUAGCAGGAUGGCGAGGCUCCUGAAAGCUUAAAAAGCUAGCACUUCUGACAGAAAGCAAUUCUCCACGAGGGGCAGCGAGAGAUAAAUUACCUGGUGUCGUUCACCUUCAAGGAAGCUUGGCUUCUUCGGGUUUAGCAGUCUCUGGGCAUUUGCUGAAAUUUAAAGAUUGUUAGAGCCUCCGAUGUCCAAUCAGCAUGACUCACUCAGUACCAGCACGGAGUCUGUCACAAAUGCCCACAGAUGACCACAGGGGGUAAAGUAAUUUUAAUCUAAAAAUGUUUCUGUGGCGGAAAGCUGCUAUCAAAUGUUCCAGAAAGUAGAAUAAACAGAAAAAUAAAAAUAUCUCAGCUUGGGCAUUAUGCUACAAAAUAAUUACAAUUGAUUUCAGAACUAUUAACUAGGACUGGGUGAAUGGCUUGCAUAUUAAGUAGAAAAUAUUCGUAAACCAACAAAUUUAUAAAUGGAAAGUAUUUUUAUUGUUUUAUUUAGAAAAUGGACAACAUAAAUUAUGUCUGAAUCUUGUUCAGACAGCAAUGGUGUUUGAGCACCGACUAUAGGGCAGCCAUUAGAGAGGCUUCAGCAAAUUAAAGAGAAAAUAAUCCUGUCUCAUGGGGCUCACUAUCUAAUGAGGAAAAUAGACCGAGGACUACAUCGUGUUAGACAGUGACACAGAUGAACUUCAAGCAGAUACACUCAGGAGGAGAUCUCAAGCACUGGGUGUAAGGACACUCGGCUGAAGUUUUACACAGAGAAUCCUGGGAUGGCCUCACUGAGAAGGUGUCUUUUCAGUAAAGUCCUCGCUACGGCUUACAUGUGUGUAUUGCUCCAAAAUCCAUAUCUUGCAAAUAAAACUCCCACGUGAUGGUAUUAAGGCAGGGCUUGUGCAAUCUAAGUCGUUGGGUGAGAAUCUCCAUGAGCAAGAGUAACAGCUUUAGAAAGGCUAAAGGAAAAGACCUCGAGCCUUCUGCAUUCCGCCGCUCUGCCAUGUGAGCGCACAGCUUUCACCCCACCCGACCCAACCCCAACUACUAUGGCAGCCUAAAGAUGAAAUAACAAGCAAGACGCCAUCUUGGAAGGCGAGUAAUUAUCUUGUUCCAAACAGUGAACUUUAUGUUAAGCUUCCCAGCCUCCAAAGCCACAAGAACCCAAGACAGUGAAGUAUCAACCUUUGCUCUCUCUAGAUUACCACCUCUGGGGGAUUCUGUUACAGUAGCAUAGACUAAGACAGAAUGUAGCCACAUGGCUCUACAUAGGGCAUUCCACAGAGAAGUUCUAGGAACAGCCAGCUCCGCUAACAGGGGCCUGAUGGCUUAUUCCAGCAAGUAGCCAGACAGCAGUUAGCCUGCUCAGGGCCAGGCGCCUGCAGGGUGAAGCCCUGAGUGGUGAAGCCCUGAGUGGUGAAGCCGCUGCAGAGUUGGGUACCGAGCUGAGGGAUGACUCACUUGCCAACUUUACAUAAGGCCUGGGAUUCAGUCUCAGCACUACUAAAUAAAAGCAAAUAGUUAAAAAUGAACGAAUUAAUUAAUUUAAUUCAAUUCCAGGUCGUGAAAACUACUAGAGGUUUGUGCAGAGCUGAUGUUGAAGGAACGAAGCCGGGACAGAGGAGCAAAGGCAGCCUGGAGAGGCAGAGCCCGGGUGAACAGCGUUCUAUUCCGCGUGUUUUCACGGGAAGGCAACAGGAAUGGUCUGCACCAGGCAAACUCAGGGCAGGGAGACUGCAGUGUCAGGAUGGACUCAGGAUUUCGCCUUGCAAUGGGAAACCUAAAGUUGCUCUUUUAUUGAAAUAGGAUAAUAUUCAAAAGAUACUUUUGAGGAUGAGUUUGUGGGUUUGAAUUUGGAUGAAGAUUUUUAUUAAAUGGUCAACGUAGGGCGCUGAGUCCUUUUUUUCCUGUGGUAGGAGCUAAAACUGAAUUGCAAUUCGUGUUUGUAAUAGUUAGGGAGUGUUCAUCUGGUCUAAAAAUAUAGUCGCGCCUACUAGGAUGACUCACGCUAGGCUUACGUGUAAAUCGCCCAAUAAAAGAUUAUGAAAGUUUUAAAACACACUUUAUGAUAUGGGCUACUUAAGUGUAACCAGCUUUAUGACUAAUUAUAAAUAAUAUGUAAUAAAUUUUAACUCUGAUUUCCCCCAACUCAAAUAGGAUGGGCAAAAUUAAAAUAAUACAAAGAUUUAAAAGCAGAAAAUAAUGAGUAACAUAUUAGUGGCACAGUUCUGGUUUGGGGAACGAGAGCUUGUCUAGUUUAAGCCAAAUCCUCCUUGUUUUAUUCAAUUACAUCGGCUUCUCUUCCGAGGAUCCCGAGCUGACUUUAAAGACUUAGAAGAAUUUCAAGCCGCUGUGUAAGAACCACAGUUGACUCAAACCAUGUAGCUGAACUUUACAAUACUGGAUCUAUCGUUGGCGGUGAAGACUUUUAACCGGAAAAGCCGUGUGGUCAGGAGAUCAAACCCAGCUCUAGUCGGGGGAUAAGUUGUUUUAACAGCUAAACGGAGGCUUUUCAACCUCCUUUUCUCAAACCAAGUGUUAUUCUAAGAAAUUUAGUACUUGUAAGAAUUCUGAUGUGGAUGAUAUUACUUUCACCAUAGCUUUUGGUGAUGAAGCACAGAGUGACUCUCUUUAGACGUUUCUUAAAGUCACAUAACCAACAAAGAAAGGCCAGGAGUAGCACAGGCAAUUUUGGCUAAUUGAGGCAGGAUGCUAUACGUCAGCAUGAACAUUGCCAAAUUCUGUGAGAUGCUUAGGCCACUGUCUGCUGUCUCGUCUGUUGUUACCAUUACUAACAACUGUCUGGGACCCAGGUAGAGUGGGCAUGCUAAUGUUUCUGACCCAUCCUGCUGGUUCCCUUAUUCUACGGUUUAUCUAAUAAGAGCACAAAAUCAGACAGACAGGGGAGGGGGAAGGGGGAGAGAGAGACAGAGAGAGAGAGAGACAGAGGAACUGGAGGUAUAUUUCUCUAGAUAUUACACAAUCCAUGCUUCCAGCUCCAUCAGCACUGAGGAUCUGGGUGACAAGAGACAAAAUUAAUAAGGAAAUGGAAGUCAAAACCAGAAAGGCAACAAGCAAAAGAAAAUCAAAUGCAAACAGCAAGGGGAGAGGAAGGGGGAAAGAGAGGUAAAAAUGCACAUUUGGGACCUUAGAUGUUUUGCUAAACCAACGAUCAGUUCAAAGAUUUUACAACUAACAGGUCACUCAGCAUUUCAUGCUUCUACACCGGGUGUAGCAUUGGUGAUUCAUGCAGGAUGCUCCACUUGUGCCUCGUAUAUAACAUAGACAUAAAAUGGCAUUUUCAUUGCUAUAACCUUAUAAAGAAUUCCAUAGAUUAGCAAA
Molecule: non-coding RNA, 5949 nt
Organism: Rattus norvegicus (Norway rat)
Lineage: Eukaryota; Metazoa; Chordata; Mammalia; Rodentia; Muridae
Source: RefSeq, a predicted model, not a curated record